This 200-nucleotide unclassified non-coding RNA is filed under the name Absidia glauca. RNAcentral describes it as "partial internal transcribed spacer 2". The record is from RNAcentral. Lineage: Eukaryota; Fungi; Mucoromycota; Mucoromycetes; Mucorales; Cunninghamellaceae. RNAcentral also lists the same sequence under 1 other name.
UAACCUUUCUCCUCCAAGGCUUUUUGGCCAAGGAGGGGAAAGAGCAUAACCGGUGGCCCAGCGGUCCUCCCAUCAGGGGGAUUGUCUCGGCUGGAAUGACUGUUGCAAUGGUGGGCCAAAUGGUCUCCCGCACUUGAUAAAUGUAACUUUUUAUAAAGAGCGGGGCCGGUCUGCCGAAAGUUGUAACUAAACCCUUUUAC